CCGUGCUAGGCGGGGCGCUAGCGGUGCCUUGUAACCCCAAAUCCGCUACAGGGGGGCCAAAAGCCUUUUUGAGGGUGUGUCUUGUGGGGAACUGCCCCGGAUAAGCGGUGAUGAUAUUCGGGUCCUGUGCGACGGACUGCCGUGAACCCUGUCAGGUCCGGAAGGAAGCAGCAGUAAGCGGAUUUGCUCCGGGCGCCCCAGGGCAACCUGGGUUGAGCUGGCUGUCCGGGUAACGCCCGGAAGGCCCAUUCGAAAAAAGGCGCACGG
RNAcentral lists this signal recognition particle RNA (267 nucleotides) under Clostridiales bacterium. Its description in RNAcentral is "signal recognition particle sRNA large type". It matches the Rfam family "Bacterial large signal recognition particle RNA". Rfam says of the family: The signal recognition particle (SRP) is a universally conserved ribonucleoprotein involved in the co-translational targeting of proteins to membranes. Archaeal SRP consists of a 7S RNA and homologues of the eukaryotic SRP19 and SRP54 proteins. The record is from RNAcentral. Lineage: Bacteria; Bacillati; Bacillota; Clostridia; Eubacteriales.